CCGCAGAACUGAUUUCAUUUUUACCAGCUCCGACUGAACGCCUACAGUGUUGCGCUCGUCGCUGCUUUUGAAUCAACACCUUCAGGGCUAAAUGAACUGUCGUAGUGCCGCGUGCGGGUUUAAUUCACGCGGCAUUUGAUCCCGUCCGCUGAACACACACAAAUGUUCCCCUUCGGGUCGUUUUAUUACAGGCCGCGUGUCCCUGCGGCGCUCGUCCGGCGUUCGGGUAACACUCACAGCUGAAUCAACGUCUGCAGGUGACGUUCAUGUCAUUCGAUUAAUUAACACGAGAAGAAUUCCUCUCAUCUUUAGAGUACUGAAUUAACGCCCGCAGUGUUGGGUUAAUUACACACGUUUAUUUAAGACGUGUAACGUCGGGUUAAUUACACACGUUUAUUUAAGACGUGUAACGUCGGGUUAAUUACACACGUUUAUUUAAGACGUGUAACGUCGGGUUAAUUACACACGUUAUUUAAGACGUGUAACGUCGGGUUAAUUACACACGUUUAUUUAAGACGUGUAACGUCGGGUUAAUUACACACGUUUAUUUAAGACGUGUAACGUCGGGUUAAUUACACACGUUUAUUUAAGACGUGUAACGUCAGGUUAAUUACACACGUUUAUGCAGGUUAAUUAUAAACAUUUAUUUAGGUUAAUUAUAAACAUUUAUUUAGGUUAAUUAUAAAUAUUUAUUUAGGUUACUUAUAAACAUUUAUUUAGGUUAAUUAUAAAUAUUUAUUUAGGUUACUUAUAAACAUUUAUUUAGGUUAAUUAUAAAUAUUUAUUUAG
Molecule: long non-coding RNA, 789 nt
Organism: Ictalurus punctatus (channel catfish)
Lineage: Eukaryota; Metazoa; Chordata; Actinopteri; Siluriformes; Ictaluridae
Source: Ensembl